This is a long non-coding RNA of Zalophus californianus (California sea lion), 773 nucleotides long. RefSeq lists it as uncharacterized. The transcript has 3 exons. Lineage: Eukaryota; Metazoa; Chordata; Mammalia; Carnivora; Otariidae. The record is from RefSeq and is a predicted model, not a curated record.
AGGCGGGCAAGACUGCGCCCACACGAGCAGCAGGGGGUUCAGCCGGGUCCCCGGAAGGCAGCAGGGAAACCCACCCGCAAAGACGCUCCGUGCGCGGGGACUCCCUACGCCUGCGGUGCGGGAAGCCGGUGGCGGGAUCCCGACCGGUCCUAGGAGACCGCUUCAGCUGCGAGUCCGGGUAACAGAAUGCCCGAAGCCAAUUAAUAUGCACACAUCUGCAGAUGGUUUUGAGAGAAAUUAACGGAGAAUUGGAAACAUACAUUCUUACUGCCAAUGAAAAAGACUCAACUCUGAAAAUACCGUUCCUCGUAAAACAGCAGAACAAACUACACAGGAAGAUUAGCUUGCUAGAAUUAAGGAUUUUUCUGAAUGUCUGUCAGAAAGAAAUAUCAUUGACUCAGGAGCAAAACUUCAAUAAUUUGCAUACACUGAAAAAGGGGGGAGGGUAGUCCUGAAAAAGCUGCUGUUGUAUUGUUUGAUAGCAUCAAAACUGAAGGGAACUGCAUUGAUUUCUUCUCAUAACAUUGUGAAAUUCACAGUAAGUGGAUUGUUUCAAAUAUGAAUUCAUUUAUCAUAUGCUCUUUUAAAAUGUAGUGUAACCCCAUUCUGUCAAAAAAUGUGAGAAAUCGUCUUUAAUUAGAAAAAGAUUUGUAAAUCUUUACUCAGUUUUUACUAGCAUUUGUGGUUAUAAACUUGCUUAGCUGGAGUGUUAUAGCUAUGAAAAUUAGCAAUAAAAACUUCUGAUUCCUCUAUUCCCUCCUAAAUUUCAUCAU